Molecule: long non-coding RNA, 268 nt
Filed under: Meriones unguiculatus (Mongolian gerbil)
Lineage: Eukaryota; Metazoa; Chordata; Mammalia; Rodentia; Muridae
Description: lncRNA (ENSMUGG00000018605.1)
Source: RNAcentral
UGAGACUGGAACCACAGCCACUCGGUGACUGAGUAACAAGGGGUCAGGAUAUACUGAAAACAACUCAAGAUAAAUCCAGGGAGGCAGGAAACCAUAAAGUCACCAAGACCACAUUCAGGCAAGAAAUACAAAGGACAGAAAGUUUUACAGCUUCAACCUUCACCUGUCUUUGCAUAACAGCAUAUUUUCAUCAGAAAUUUGUAAGUAUCUUUUUAUUUUUCUGUACUUAAGUAAUUAGAGACUGAUCGGGGGAAUAAAUAGCUCCUCU